RNAcentral lists this ribosomal RNA (462 nucleotides) under uncultured bacterium. RNAcentral's name for it is "bacterial SSU rRNA". It matches the Rfam family "Bacterial small subunit ribosomal RNA", at positions 336 to 790 of the family's 1533-position model. The record is from RNAcentral.
CUCCUACGGGAGGCAGCAGUGGGGAAUAUUGGACAAUGGGGGCAACCCUGAUCCAGCCAUGCCGCGUGUGUGAAGAAGGCCUUUUGGUUGUAAAGCACUUUAAGCAGUGAAGAAGACUCCAUGGUUAAUACCCAUGGACGAUGACAUUAGCUGCAGAAUAAGCACCGGCUAACUCCGUGCCAGCAGCCGCGGUAAUACAGAGGGUGCAAGCGUUAAUCGGAAUUACUGGGCGUAAAGCGAGCGUAGGUGGCUUGAUAAGUCAGAUGUGAAAUCCCCGGGCUUAACCUGGGAACUGCAUCUGAUACUGUUAGGCUAGAAUAGGUGAGAGGAAGGUAGAAUUCCAGGUGUAGCGGUGAAAUGCGUAGAGAUCUGGAGGAAUACCGAUGGCGAAGGCAGCCUUCUGGCAUCAUAUUGACACUGAGGUUCGAAAGCGUGGGUAGCAAACAGGAUUAGAUACCCUGG